AUUAUGAGAAAUUUUAAGUAAACAAAACAGUUGAGCCUUCCCAGCCUGAUAAUCAGUAGCAAUGUGUCAGUACCAAUGCAUCUGUGAUUUGUGCCACAUUACUGGGCUAAAUUUGAAGAGGAAAGCUCGGUCAAACAUUCUUCCAGCUUAAUUGUCAUCUUGGAUAGGCUGAAUGGGAGGUAUUUUCAAGGUGCAUGGUUUGUUGCUAUGUGUGUUUUAAGUAGAUCUGCCACCUCUAGCUUGACUUUAGGUUACCAUAAAGCUGCAGAGGUCACUUUUCUGAUUUGUCAGGGCCGAACACCUGAAGCAUAUAUUUCAGUUUUCAUAACAGGACCUCUGAUCUUUGUCCUGUUAUAUUGACUGGUUUCAUAGGAGAAUAUAUUUUUGGAUUGAGUUUUAAUUCUUCAGUAGCAGCUGAAUAAUAAAAUAACGUUGUUACAUUUAUGAUUCAGCUUAAUGAAUGAUUACAUUAUUAGUAUUCCUGCCUGUGUUUUUUGUUUAAACAUAUAACGUCUUUCAAGAAUAGUGUACAUAUCUGUCUGGGCACUGUGGUGCAUGCUUAUAAUCCCAACAUUUUGGGAGGCCAGGGUGGGUGGAUUGCUUGAGGCCAGGAGUUCAAGACCAGCCUGGGCAACACGGUGAGACCUUGUCUCUACAAAUAAUUUUUUAAAAAUCAGCUGGGCAUGGUGGCAUGCACUUGUAAUCCUAGCUACUUAGGAGGUGGAGGCAGGAGGAUCACUCUAGCCCAGGAGUUAGAAGGUGCAGUGAGCUAUGAUUGCACAGCUGCAUCCAGCCUGGGUAACAGAACAAGACCCUGUCUAAAGAAAAAAAAGGAACAUACAUACAUUAUUUUAGCUUCUUUUAUAAUUCCCUAGCUUAGGAACUGGUCAGUAAAUAUAGAGUGAAUAACAGACUUAUACUGGAAUUAUCUUUACUAGUUUGUUAUACUUCCUCUUCAAGAUGUUUUGUCAAAGAAAUUCUGAAUUUAUUUUGUUUCUCUACAUGUUAGCUAGACUCAUGUAUCAUUUAGCAACAACAAAAACUUAUUUCAUGUGAUAGACUGACUGUUUACUUCUAGCUAUUGUUGGCUAUGUCAGAGAGACCAGAUACCUUAGCCAAGAAUGGUUAUCAGGACUGGAGAAACUGAAUAUGUGUGUGAGUAAUCUUUUGAGAACAGGCUGGUAUUAUUUUUUUGUAAAGGGAUCAUAUUACAUUUCUAGAAUUUCAGAACUUAUUUUUAUAGUUGAAGCUAAGUCCCUCCUCUGAUUGCUAGAAAUAAAGCUAUGUAAUAUUUUUAUUUCAGCAUUUGGAUUUAUUAUAAUAUGUAUUACGAUUUUUAAGAUUUUGUUUUUCAUUCUUUUAGACAGGUGCUCUAGUUCACAGCUAUAGGGGAACAGGUGGAAUAUUUGAAGUUUGCUGGAAUGCAGCAGGAGACAAAGUUGGAGCCAGUGCAUCAGAUGGUUCAGUUUGUGUAUUAGACCUUCGGAAAUAGCGCUACUAGUUGGAAGCCAUGGACCGACUAUGAAUGUGUACAUAGCCAAAAUGACUGUCCCUGACCCAUGUACUGCUAUAGUCCCACUUGAACCAUGGCCAGUCCACUACAGCCAAAUCUAAAAGAAAUAUAUACAUACAGUGUAUAUAAACAAAAUUGCACCCUGAAGAUGACAGAGUUUUGUCACAGCUUGUGAAUUCUGUUCACCAAGUGCUGGAAUCUAAUCUGCUGUGCCCCUAAAAUAGCAUUUAGAAGUUUUGGAUAUGAAAAACAGAAGAGAGAAAAAUAUACAUUAUAAAAGCAGAACAUACAUGUACCAGUUUUUGGAUACUAAAUGACAGCCUUGUUUCUCCCCUUUGAAUCAGCAGACACCAUGGAUUAUAUUCUUUUUUUCCCUUCAGUAGUGAGCAGUUUGUAUGUACAGAGAAAAUGGACUUACAAAAACUUGCAGCAGUAGUUUGUUCUUGCUUUUAAAAUUUCGUUUUUGGUUUAGAUUAUGGAUGCAUGAAGUAAGGGAGUGAAUCAGUUUCUUGUUUAUAUUUUUUUCACCUUUUAAACAAAAAAUUCUUUAAAAUAUUUUAAUGCAUUCUUUUGAAGAGGUAGAUGUUUGGUACAUUUUAUGGCUCCCAGAGCAUAUAUUCAGUUGGUGCAUGUUAUGGAAGGGGGAAUUGGAAAUUAAAUGAAAACCUAUGACUUUGGUCAUGUCAAUCUGUAAGACACAUCAGUAAAAGGGUAUUAUGCUCUGUUGGUUUUGUUUUUUUUGUUUUGCUUUUUUUUUUUUUUUUUCUUUUUUGUUUUUUGGUGAUGUGGCUUAAAUGCAAUAGUUUCUUUUUUGGGACAUAUUUCUGCCAAUUAAAGACUAGAAGGGCACAAAUUUUUUUUUAAUUACCAUAGAGAAGAUACAUUAAAAAAAAAAAUCUUCUGAUGUUUUGUAGCCAUAACUAAAUUAUGGUAAAAAUGUGCACUAUUGUGAAAAGGAGCAACGUAGUUUUGGGUUUUUUGUUGUUUGUUUGUUUUGCUUUGUUUUUUAAGAGAUUAAAAUGUUUCUGGAUAAGGAUUAGCUUCUCGAAGUGUCCAUCAUUCUGUGUAGAAGCUUAAAUAUGUAAUGUAACCAAACUCCAGUAUUAAAAAUCUCUCAUGUUGUUUUCUUUAUACAAAGCAAGAUAACGGCAUAUAACACUGCCAUUACAUGGCAAAAUGUUUGCUACCUUAGUUUAAAAAACAAUCUCAAACAAAAGACUUGCUUCAAGGUGUUUUUAAAUAGCAGUGAUUCAGAAUUUUUUUUAUGAAAGUAUAAUUGCACUAACCUUCUUCCUGCUGCUCUGAUUCUGCAUUUGUGGUACUUGUGACUACGUUUUUUCAAAUAUAGAUAGAUUUAAGCUGCUAAUUUUUUUUUUCAGUAAUCACUACUAUAUCAUGUCUUUUACUCUGUUUAUAAUAUCAAGUAUUUUCUUAAAGAUAUAGAUAUUAAACCUUGUGCUCAUGCAACUUAGAGUAACAUAUACAGACAAAUGAUUGCAUGAGGCCAUGUUUAUAUGUGUGACUAAUAAGGCUUGUCAUGAUUAACAUAAUCCAGGUAUGUCAUUUCUGAAGAGAAUAGUCAUCAAAUUUAUAUCUCGAAGAUUUUAAUUAAGGAAUUGCUUAUUGUUGAGCUUAGCAAAUUAAUAACACUAUUUCUGUCACUAAUUAUUUUGAGGCCUUUUAGUACUAAAAUUUUAACCUGUGUUCUAAGUAGAAACUGAUUUAACCCAAGUAAUGCAGCUUUGAUUUUCAGCAUUCGUUGCUUUGCUAUUUUUACAAAACAGCAUUGAUUGAAGCAAGUCUUGGUUUUACUAAGGUAGGGUAGCAUUUGCUAUUGGUAAAGAGAAUAAAUACACUUAAUUUCACAAUACAUUGUUAUAUGUACCCCAGUUGUUGUUAGUGGGGACUAUGAUACUGUAAUAAUAUUUUUAAAAAUUUACAUCAAGAGAGGCAGUCAUUCACGAUGGUUUUGUGCCAGCUCUUUUUAGGGUUUUGGAUCACAUUAGAGAUAUUUAGAACAUAUUACCCUGUGACUUACGUAGGAAACCUAAUAUGCUGAGUAUCUGGCACUUGAAUUCCUGCUUUUAUUGCUGGAGGUCCACAUCUGUGGUUGACCUCUGUUAUUGUUUAAAAAAAAUAAAUAAAAAUUAAAAAAAUCUGUGCAAUAAUCUUAAAAUGUGCUCCCAGGAAUAGACACAAAUGUUUUGAGUAUCUUUUAAGCUGCAUUUUCCUUUAGUGAUGCAUUUGUCAAUUGCACUGAAUUUAAAUCUGAAAGUCAGAGGUGAUUAUUGAUAGUACUUUUGUAUUUUGAUAUGGACAGUUUAUUCAUUUGCAUACAGUUAUUGACUUUUUCCCAGCUGAUUAAAAGAUAGUCAAGAAAUUCUGCAAUAUAGCUGCUAAAAUAGACAGCUACAUUUUUAUGAUAUUGUCAUCUUUUCUGUUUUUUUUCUUUUUUUUUCUUUAGCUAUUUUACUUAAGCAUAAUAGCCACAAUAGGACAUAUAAAAGAUUAUAAAUACAGAGCUUUAUUAUCCUGACGUCUUGGGUCUUUUAAGUAUAUACUUUUCUGAAAGGUAUCCAUUUUGUAGGCUUGGGUUCUUCAUGAGCAUACGAUUGUUUAUUUUUGCUGCUGUUCUCAACAUCAUCAUUGCCUGCUGAUGUGCCACGAUGCUGCUCCAAUAGACAGAAAUAAGAUUGUCUCUAAUUUGAGCAGUAACAUGAUUGCAAGAGACCAAGUUUCACAGCUUGUAAAGUUCUGUAUUUGGGAUUCUUGCUUAUUUUUCCGCCUGUGUUUUUCUGAGAACUUAUUCCUGAUGAUCAAUUGAAUCCAGUAGUUUUUCUAUGCUAUUUGUUGUUGUAUAAGCUACUGUAAGAAACUUAUCAUAAGGAAAAAUAGAAAGGAAAACUUGAAUCAAUACUCAUUGAUUAAAAUGGAAUAAAGAAAGAGCAGCUGCCACUUUUAAACAACAUAAAGGAAUAUCUUGUUUUGUCUCCGUGUAGGAAAUCCCAUAAGUUCUUAUAUUCGUUCCAAUUCCCAUUUCCUGCCAUUGACCAGAUAACAUCAUUGACUUUCAAAUGACUUUUAGAAGUGGUAACUCUUAAUUUCCUAAUAGAUACUAGAUUGUAUUGAAUUCUGUUUUAAUUAUUCUCUAGGUAAGUAUGUUUUAGGAUUAAAUACCUUUUACAGAUACUGAAAGUGCCUCCUUUUGUGGUGUAAAAAAACAAAUUAUGGUGCAAAAAGUAAUCACUAGAUUGAAUUACAUGAAGGUUUUUUGCUUUUUGACAUACGAAAAUGUCAAGAGAAAGGCCAAAGAUUUGUACUUUUUCACUUACAAAGCACUCCUUUUUCCCUUAAACUUCUUUCUGUCAAAUUAGAUUUAAUGAGAGAGUACUAUUUUUAAGGAGCUAUCUGUUUAUGUAGAAUGAUUUUGUUAAGAGUAAUGUAAACUAUUAUUGAGUAGAGGCCUAAAGAGGACUGUGCAUUUUUGCUAUUUAAAGGAAUCACAAAUGAUCAUACUUAAGUGAGCAAAAAUGACAAGUUUUACUAGCUAAGUAGAGAAAUAAAUCUCAAAUGCAGCGCUACAAUUUUCAUUAUCUUAAGCACAAUGUACAUUUCUACAGAACCUGUGAUUAUUCUCGCAUGAUAAGGAUGGUACUUGCAUAUGGUGAAUUACUACUGUUGACAGUUUCCGCAGAAAUCCUAUUUCAGUGGACCAACAUUGUGGCAUGGCAGCAAAUGCCAACAUUUUGUGGAAUAGCAGCAAAUCUACAAGAGACCCUGGUUGGUUUUUCGUUUUGUUUUCUUUGUUUUUUCCCCCUUCUCCUGAAUCAGCAGGGAUGGAAGGAGGGUAGGGAAGUUACGAAUUACUCCUUCCAGUAGUAGCUCUGAAGUGUCACAUUUAAUAUCAGUUUUUUUUAAACAUGAUUCUAGUUAAAUGUAGAAGAGAGAAAAAAGAGGAAGUGUUCACUUUUUUAAUACACUGAUUUAGAAAUUUGAUGUCUUAUAUCAGUAGUUCUGAGGUAUUGAUAGCUUUCUUUAUUUCUGCCUUUACGUUGACAGUGUUGAAGCAGGGUGAAUAACUAGGGCAUAUAUAUUUUUUUUUUUUUGUAAGCUGUUUCAUGAUGUUUUCUUUGGAAUUUCCGGAUAAGUUCAGGAAAACAUUCUGCAUGUUGUAUCUAGUCUGAUGUACUUAUCCAUCUCAUUACAAACAAAAACACACAGACUGCAUUUGUAGCUCUGUAAUCCUUGAAUACGGAAGUAAAUUUUCUUCUUUCCUGACUUUGACAUUGUAGCUAUACUGUUUCCAUUUUUAUUUUUACAAAUCCUUUGGGUCUAAUUCUGUGAGCCUACCUAUAGCACUGGAUUAAAAUGUCUGCAUCAUUUCUUUAGUUAUCCAGUUAACUUUAAAACUGUUGUAAAAGUGUAAACCAGCCCAUGACAGGUUUUUGUACAUGUUAAAGAACUUCAUUGUUCAGUUUUCAUGAUUAUUGUAUAAGGAAGACUGAUAUAGAUGUUCUAUGCUGUCCUGGACCAUGUUAAUUACACUUACGAUGUAUUUUGGUUCCACAUCACAAUGAUUUGUCCCCAGUGACCCUUUUAUCCUUUCUAGGCACAUUUUUUUUUGUUGUUGUUGUUGCAGUUCCCCUUUGCAUUGUAUUGCUUUGACAACUGUAAUUUGAAUCAGAUCUGAAAGAGGUCCAGAAUAAAAUAUAUUUUGAUAUUA
RNAcentral lists this small RNA (6236 nucleotides) under Pan troglodytes (chimpanzee). RNAcentral describes it as "retained intron". Lineage: Eukaryota; Metazoa; Chordata; Mammalia; Primates; Hominidae. The record is from RNAcentral.